Molecule: ribosomal RNA, 492 nt
Filed under: uncultured bacterium
Lineage: Bacteria
Description: partial 16S ribosomal RNA
Rfam family: Bacterial small subunit ribosomal RNA
Source: RNAcentral
AGUGAACGCUGGCGGUAGGCCUAACACAUGCAAGUCGAACGGCAGCACAGUAAGAUCUUGCUCUUACGGGUGGCGAGUGGCGGACGGGUGAGGCAUACAUCGCAAUCUACUUUUUCGUGGGGGAUAACGUAGGGACACUUACGCUAAUACCGCAUACGACUUACGGCUGAAAGCAGUGGAUCUUCGGACCUUGCGCGAUUGAAUGAGCCGAUGUCGGAUUAGCUAGUUGGCGGGGUAAGGGCCCACCAAGGCGACGAUCCGUAGCUGGUCUGAGAGGAUGAUCAGCCACACUGGAACUGAGACACGGUCCAGACUCCUACGGGAGGCAGCAGUGGGGAAUAUUGGACAAUGGGCGCAAGCCUGAUCCAGCCAUACCGCGUGAGUGAAGAAGGCCUUCGGGUUGUAAAGCCCUUUUGUUGGGAAAGAAAAGCAGCAGGUUAAUACCCCGCUGUUCUGACGGUACCUAAAGAAAAAGCACCGGCUAACUUCGUG